RNAcentral lists this ribosomal RNA (320 nucleotides) under uncultured eukaryote. Its description in RNAcentral is "partial 18S ribosomal RNA". It matches the Rfam family "Eukaryotic small subunit ribosomal RNA", at positions 1470 to 1796 of the family's 1831-position model. The record is from RNAcentral.
CCCCUAGAUGUUCUGGGUCGCACGCGCGCUACACUGAACAGUUCAACAAGUCUUAACCUUGGCCGAUAGGUCUGGGUAAUCUUUGAACGCUGUUCGUGAUUGGGAUAGACCUUUGCAAUUAUGGGUCUUCAACGAGGAAUUCCUAGUAAACGCAAGUCAUCAGCUUGCAUUGAUUACGUCCCUGCCCUUUGUACACACCGCCCGUCGCACCUACCGAUUGAAUGGUCCGGUGAAAUCUCGGGACGGCGGCUUGGUCGCUUGCGUCCGACUGCUGAAACUUGAUUAAACCAUNUNAUUUAGNGGAAGGUGAANUCGUANCA